RNAcentral lists this ribosomal RNA (466 nucleotides) under uncultured bacterium. RNAcentral describes it as "partial 16S ribosomal RNA". It matches the Rfam family "Bacterial small subunit ribosomal RNA", at positions 28 to 505 of the family's 1533-position model. The record is from RNAcentral.
GACGAACGCUGGCGGCGUGCUUAACACAUGCAAGUCGAACGGAAAGACCCUGCUUUUGUGGGGUGCUCGAGUGGCGAACGGGUGAGUAACACGUGAGUAACCUGCCCUUGACUUUGGGAUAACUUCAGGAAACUGGGGCUAAUACCGGAUAGGAGCUCCUGCUGCAUGGUGGGGGUUGGAAAGUUUCGGCGGUUGGGGAUGGACUCGCGGCUUAUCAGCUUGUUGGUGGGGUAGUGGCUUACCAAGGCUUUGACGGGUAGCCGGCCUGAGAGGGUGACCGGCCACAUGGGGACUGAGAUACGGCCCAGACUCCUACGGGAGGCAGCAGUGGGGAAUAUUGCACAAUGGGCGGAAGCCUGAUGCAGCAACGCCGCGUGCGGGAUGACGGCCUUCGGGUUGUAAACCGCUUUCGCCUGUGACGAAGCGUGAGUGACGGUAAUGGGUAAAGAAGCACCGGCUAACUACG